Non-coding RNA from Phrynosoma platyrhinos (Desert horned lizard), 72 nucleotides. The record is from the annotation of a GenBank genome assembly. Lineage: Eukaryota; Metazoa; Chordata; Lepidosauria; Squamata; Phrynosomatidae.
GCCAUCAUGGUAUAGUGGUUUGAGUGUUAGAGUGUAACUCUGGAGACCAGGGUUCAAAUCCCUGCUCAGCCA